Molecule: ribosomal RNA, 829 nt
Filed under: uncultured bacterium
Lineage: Bacteria
Description: bacterial SSU rRNA
Rfam family: Bacterial small subunit ribosomal RNA
Source: RNAcentral
GCUGGCGGCGUGCCUAACACAUGCAAGUCGAACGAGAAAGGGACUUCGGUCCUGAGUAUAGUGGCGCACGGGUGAGUAACACGUGACUAAUCUACCCUCGAGUGGGGAAUAACUGAGAGAAAUCUUAGCUAAUACCGCAUAACACUUACGAGUCAAAGCAGCAAUGCGCUUGGGGAGGAGGUCGCGGCCGAUUAGCUAGUUGGCGGGGUAAUGGCCCACCAAGGCGAUGAUCGGUAUCCGGCCUGAGAGGGCGCACGGACACACUGGAACUGAAACACGGUCCAGACUCCUACGGGAGGCAGCAGUGGGGAAUUUUGCGCAAUGGGGGAAACCCUGACGCAGCAACGCCGCGUGGAGGAUGAAGUAUCUCGGUACGUAAACUCCUUUCGAUGGGGAAGAUAAUGACGGUACCCAUAGAAGAAGCCCCGGCUAACUUCGUGCCAGCAGCCGCGGUAAUACGAGGGGGGCAAGCGUUGUUCGGAUUUAUUGGGCGUAAAGGGUGCGUAGGCGGUUUGGCAAGUCUUGUGUGAAAUCUUCGGGCUCAACCCGAAGCCUGCACGAGAAACUACCGGGCUUGAGUGAUGGAGAGGUGAGUGGAAUUUCCGGUGUAGCGGUGAAAUGCGUAGAUAUCGGAAGGAACACCUGUGGCGAAAGCGGCUCACUGGACAUUAACUGACGCUGAUGCACGAAAGCUAGGGGAGCAAACAGGAUUAGAUACCCUGGUAGUCCUAGCCCUAAACGAUGAUCGCUUGAUGUGGCACGUACCCAAUCCUGCCGUGUCGAAGCUAACGCGAUAAGCGAUCCGCCUGGGGAGUACGGUCGCAAGACU